Molecule: ribosomal RNA, 1624 nt
Filed under: Betaproteobacteria bacterium
Lineage: Bacteria; Pseudomonadati; Pseudomonadota; Betaproteobacteria
Description: partial 23S ribosomal RNA
Rfam family: Bacterial large subunit ribosomal RNA
Source: RNAcentral
GUUAUAGGGUCAAGUGAAUAAGUGCAUGUGGUGGAUGCCUUGGCGAUCACAGGCGAUGAAGGACGUUGUAGCCUGCGUUAUGCUGCGGGGAGCUGGCAAACAAGCUUUGAUCCGCAGAUUUCCGAAUGGGGAAACCCACUCCGCAAGGAGUAUCCCACGCUGAAUACAUAGGCGUGAGGAGGCGAACCGAGCGAACUGAAACAUCUAAGUAGCUCGAGGAAAAGAAAUCAACCGAGAUUCCGAAAGUAGUGGCGAGCGAAAUUGGAACAGCCUGUACGUGAUAAUCAUGAAGUCAGCAAAACGGCCUGGAAAGGCCGGCCAUAGCAGGUGAUAGCCCUGUAUGCGAAAACUUCGUGAUGGUACUAAGCGUACGAUAAGUAGGGCGGGACACGUGGAAUCCUGUCUGAAGAUGGGGGGACCAUCCUCCAAGGCUAAAUACUCGUGAUCGACCGAUAGUGAACCAGUACCGUGAGGGAAAGGCGAAAAGAACCCCGCAAGCUUAACCGAAUAGGGGAGGCGCAGGGAAACCGAGUCCGAAUAGGGCGAUCAGUCGCUAGGCGUAGACCCGAAACCAGAUGAUCUAUCCAUGGCCAGGAUGAAGGUAGGGUAACACCUGCUGGAGGUCCGAACCGACUACUGUUGCAAAAGUAGCGGAUGAGCUGUGGAUAGGGGUGAAAGGCUAAACAAAUCUGGAAAUAGCUGGUUCUCCCCGAAAACUAUUUAGGUAGUGCCUCAUGUAUGGCUCCAGGGGGUAGAGCACUGUCAUCAUUGCGGGGGUCAUUGCGAUUUACCGCGUGAUAGCAAACUCCGAAUACCUGGAAGUCUGAGCAUGGGAGACAGUCCUCGGGUGCUAACGUCCGAGGUCGAGAGGGAAACAACCCAGACCGCCAGCUAAGGUCCCCAAGCAUGACUAAGUGGGAAACGAAGUGGGAAGGCUAAAACAGUCAGGAGGUUGGCUUAGAAGCAGCCACCCUUUAAAGAAAGCGUAAUAGCUCACUGAUCGAGUCGUUGCUGGAGGUAUCAGAAGUGCGAAUGCUGACAUGAGUAGCGUUAAACAGAGUGAAAAGCUCUGUCGCCGUAAGCGCAAGGUUUCCUACGCAACGUUAAUCGACGUAGGGUGAGUCGGCCCCUAAGGCGAGGGCGAGAGCCGUAGCUGAUGGGAAGCAGGUUAAUAUUCCUGCACCGAUACUAGAUGCGAUGGGGGGACGGAUCGUGGAAGGUUGUCCGGGUGUUGGAUGUCCCGGUCCCUGUCUUGUAGGUGUUCAGUAGGCAAAUCCGCUGAACGUAUGCCGAGGAGAUGGGGCGAGUGAGCUUGCUCGCGAAGCAACUGGAAGGGGUCCCAGGAAAAGCCUCUAAGCUUCAGUCUAGUACGACCGUACCGCAAACCGACACUGGUGCGCGAGAUGAGUAUUCUCAGGCGCUUGAGAGAACUGCGGAGAAGGAACUCGGCAAAUUGACACCGUAACUUCGGGAGAAGGUGUGCCUUUUUAGCUUGAGUGUGAACAACACAAGGGCGAAGAGGCUGCAAAAAAUAGGUGGCUGCGACUGUUUACCAAAAACACAGCACUCUGCAAACACGAAAGUGGACGUAUAGGGUGUGACGCCUGCCCGGUGCCGGAAGGUU